RNAcentral lists this transfer RNA (69 nucleotides) under Amazilia rondoniae (blue-fronted emerald). Its description in RNAcentral is "tRNA-Asp". RNAcentral also lists the same sequence under 3 other names. Lineage: Eukaryota; Metazoa; Chordata; Aves; Apodiformes; Trochilidae. The record is from RNAcentral.
AAGGUGUUAGUAAAAUCAUUACAUAGCUUUGUCAAAGCUAAAUCACAGAUGAAAACCCUGUACAUCUUA